Molecule: long non-coding RNA, 309 nt
Filed under: Elaeis guineensis (African oil palm)
Lineage: Eukaryota; Viridiplantae; Streptophyta; Magnoliopsida; Arecales; Arecaceae
Description: long non-coding RNA (EGUI_LNC053576)
Source: RNAcentral
CCAACCAUUAACAUAACAAUACCAAGUGGAUCCAACAAACAGAUAUUCAGACCCAAGUGUGGCUCGACAAACCUAAGCAUUGAUCUAAAGGUACAUCAUGAUAGUCAUAUGAUGAAUGAUAAUUCCAAUAAGUAAUAGAUACCAGGCGUGUGGCACCUCCAAUGCCUAUUUGGAACAUUGGACUCAUUAUCACGCACCUUAAUGGGAGGCUAUGACUAAGUUAUCUCAUAACUCUCUCAUUUUAUGAACCUAAUAAUUUAGAGAAUUUGAUUUCAUUAAUCUAAAAAUAAAAGAAGAAGAUGACCUGCC